AUUGAACGCUGGCGGCAGGCCUAACACAUGCAAGUCGAGCGGACGAAGGGAGCUUGCUCCUGGAUUCAGCGGCGGACGGGUGAGUAAUGCCUAGGAAUCUGCCUUGUAGUGGGGGAUAACGUCCGGAAACGGGCGCUAAUACCGCAUACGUCCUGAUGGAGAAAGUGGGGGAUCUUCGGACCUCACGCUAUCAGAUGAGCCUAGGUCGGAUUAGCUAGUUGGUGGGGUAAAGGCCUACCAAGGCGACGAUCCGUAACUGGUCUGAGAGGAUGAUCAGUCACACUGGAACUGAGACACGGUCCAGACUCUUACGGGAGGCAGCAGUGGGGAAUAUUGGACAAUGGGCGAAAGCCUGAUCCAGCCAUGCCGCGUGUGUGAAGAAGGUCUUCGGAUUGUAAAGCACUUUAAGUUGGGAGGAAGGGCAGUAAGUUAAUACCUUGCUGUUUUGACGUUACCAACAGAAUAAGCACCGGCUAACUUCGUG
RNAcentral lists this ribosomal RNA (484 nucleotides) under uncultured bacterium. Its description in RNAcentral is "partial 16S ribosomal RNA". It matches the Rfam family "Bacterial small subunit ribosomal RNA", at positions 30 to 507 of the family's 1533-position model. The record is from RNAcentral.